Molecule: ribosomal RNA, 553 nt
Filed under: Orbilia luteorubella
Lineage: Eukaryota; Fungi; Ascomycota; Orbiliomycetes; Orbiliales; Orbiliaceae
Description: 5.8S ribosomal RNA
Rfam family: 5.8S ribosomal RNA (bases 174-327)
Source: RNAcentral
GAUCAUUACACAUAAAGUUUUUACACUUUAAACCCAUUGUGAACCACAAAACCUUUUGCUUCGGUAGCAGGCCUGAGCUUUCGAGUUCAGUGCCAUAAGCCUGCCGACAGCACCCUUCUUAAACUUGCUUUCAAACCCAGUCUUAAGAAUUAUCAUUUUCUAAUGAAAAUUAAAACUUUCAACAACGGAUCUCUUGGUUCUCGCAUCGAUGAAGAACGCAGCGAAACGCGAUAGUUAAUGUGAAUUGCAGAAUUCAGUGAAUCAUCGAGUCUUUGAACGCACAUUGCACCUUUUGGUAUUCCGAAAGGUAUGUCUGUUUGAGCGUCAUUUCAACACCCUCAACAAAUUAUUGUUGGUUUUGGGCCUGGGAGCCUGGUGCUUUGCACCUGACCCGGCUUUAAAGUUGAACGCUCUGCGGGCGACCCAGCCAACUGAACAUAGUAAUAGCUUUUUGCCUUGUUCCGCUUUGGUUUUUGGGAUGUUCCGCCUGAAUAACGAAUCUUUUUUCUUAGGUUUGACCUCAGAUCAGACAAGGAUACCCGCUGAACUUAAC